AACCCAUGGUGAUGGCACCUUCUCAAAAGGUCCCUAAAUCUCUCCCAUGCAUCGUAGAGUGUUUCUAAAUCCAUCUUCACAAAGGAAGAGAUAUCAUUAUGUAAUU
This is a non-coding RNA of Gossypium arboreum, 106 nucleotides long. The record is from Rfam. NCBI's taxonomy places the organism in Eukaryota, Viridiplantae, Streptophyta, Magnoliopsida, Malvales, Malvaceae.